RNAcentral lists this small nuclear RNA (19 nucleotides) under Arabidopsis thaliana (thale cress). RNAcentral describes it as "snRNA_06415". The record is from RNAcentral. Lineage: Eukaryota; Viridiplantae; Streptophyta; Magnoliopsida; Brassicales; Brassicaceae.
AGCGAACCGGGAAGAGCCC